RNAcentral lists this transfer RNA (63 nucleotides) under Micromus angulatus. RNAcentral describes it as "tRNA-Leu". Lineage: Eukaryota; Metazoa; Arthropoda; Insecta; Neuroptera; Hemerobiidae. The record is from RNAcentral. RNAcentral also lists the same sequence under 1 other name.
AUUACUUUGGCAGAUUAGUGCUUUGAAUUUAGAAUUCAAAUAUGUAAUUAUUUACAAGUAAUA